This 268-nucleotide long non-coding RNA is filed under the name Sinocyclocheilus anshuiensis. Its description in RNAcentral is "lncRNA (ENSSANG00000024422.1)". Lineage: Eukaryota; Metazoa; Chordata; Actinopteri; Cypriniformes; Cyprinidae. The record is from RNAcentral.
GUUGGUUGUGAUAUUUCCGUCUCUAGAUAUGACUUGGGUCCCUCCGUGAAUCCAACCAAAACACUGGUGACACACCAAAGCCCUUCUUCCAUGAAAUGUCAAAGAGGAAUGUCUACUAGAAGUGCAAUAUUAUAGCUGUGCUCACACAGAGAUGUAAUGCGCUGAAAAGCUGAUCUUUGACCUUUUGAGAUUUACAGCUUGAGAAAACCGAUGAGGUGAUAAACGCAUGAGGGAUAAAUCAAGACAAAUAUUGAAAAUAUGUUUUUGG